GAUGAACGCUGGCGGCGUGCUUAACACAUGCAAGUCGAACGGAAAGGCUCCUGCUUGCAGGGGUACUCGAGUGGCGAACGGGUGAGUAACACGUGGGUGAUCUGCCCUGCACUUCGGGAUAAGCCUGGGAAACUGGGUCUAAUACCGGAUAGGACGAUGGUUUGGAUGCCAUUGUGGAAAGUUUUUCGGUGUGGGAUGAGCUCGCGGCCUAUCAGCUUGUUGGUGGGGUAAUGGCCUACCAAGGCGUCGACGGGUAGCCGGCCUGAGAGGGUGUACGGCCACAUUGGGACUGAGAUACCGCCCAGACUCCUAAGGGAGGCAGGAGGGGGGAAUAAUGCACAAUGGGCGCAAGCCUGAUGCAGCGACGCCGCGUGGGGGAUGACGGCCUUCGGGUUGUAAACUCCUUUCGCUAGGGACGAAGCGCAAGUGAAGGUACCUGGAGAAGAAGCACCGGCUAACUACGUG
This 465-nucleotide ribosomal RNA is filed under the name uncultured bacterium. Its description in RNAcentral is "partial 16S ribosomal RNA". It matches the Rfam family "Bacterial small subunit ribosomal RNA", at positions 28 to 507 of the family's 1533-position model. The record is from RNAcentral.